RNAcentral lists this ribosomal RNA (252 nucleotides) under uncultured bacterium. Its description in RNAcentral is "partial 16S ribosomal RNA". It matches the Rfam family "Bacterial small subunit ribosomal RNA", at positions 524 to 776 of the family's 1533-position model. The record is from RNAcentral.
UACGUAGGCAGCAAGCGUUGUUCGGAGUUACUGGGCGUAAAGGGUGUGUAGGCGGUCUUCUAAGUCUGGUGUGAAAUCUCCGGGCUUAACUCGGAACGGUCAAGUGAUACUGUCGGGCUAGAGUGCAGAAGGGGCAACUGGAAUUCUCGGUGUAGCGGUGAAAUGCGUAGAUAUCGAGAGGAACACCUGCGGCGAAGCGGGUUGCUGGGCUGACACUGACGCUGAGGCGCGAAAGCCAGGGGAGCGAACGGG